Molecule: unclassified non-coding RNA, 400 nt
Filed under: soil metagenome
Description: partial contains 5.8S ribosomal RNA, internal transcribed spacer 2, and large subunit ribosomal RNA
Rfam family: 5.8S ribosomal RNA (bases 1-122)
Source: RNAcentral
GAUGAAGAACGUAGCGAAAUGCGAUACUUGGUGUGAAUUGCAGAAUCCCGUGAACCAUCGAGUCUUUGAACGCAAGUUGCGCCUCAAGCCAUUAGGUUGAGGGCACGUCUGCUUGGGCGUCACAUAUCGUUGCCUGAUGCCAGUUUCCUCGUGAUGGGUGACUGUGCAGGGCGAAUGAUGGCUUCCCGUGAGCAUUGUUGCCUCAUGGUUGGUUGAAAAUUGAGUCCUUGGUAGGGAGCGCCGUGAUAGAUGGUGGUUGAGUGACGAACGAGACCCAAUCAUGUGAGACCCCUACCGAAUUUGGCCUUCAUGACCCACAUGCGUCUUUGGAACGCUCAUGACGAGACCUCAGGUCAGGCGGGGCUACCCGCUGAGUCUAAGCAUAUCAAUAAGCGGAGGA